UCCAACAGGGAUUGCCUCAGUAACGGCGAGUGAAGCGGCAACAGCUCAAAUUUGAAAUCUGGCCCUAGGCCCGAGUUGUAAUUUGCAGAGGAUGCUUCUGGCGCGGUGCCUUCCAAGUCCCCUGGAACGGGGCGCCAUAGAGGGUGAGAGCCCCGUCUGGUUGGCCGCCAAGCCUGUGUGAAGCUCCUUCGACGAGUCGAGUAGUUUGGGAAUGCUGCUCUAAAUGGGAGGUAGACCCCUUCUAAAGCUAAAUACCGGCCAGAGACCGAUAGCGCACAAGUAGAGUGAUCGAAAGAUGAAAAGCACUUUGAAAAGAGGGUUAAACAGUACGUGAAAUUGUUGAAAGGGAAGCGCUUGUGACCAGACGUGCGUCGGGGUGUUCAGCGGGCGUUCUCGCCCGUGCACUCGCCCCGGUGCAGGCCAGCGUCGGUUCGGGCGGGGGGACAAAGGCGCCGGGAACGUAGCUCCUCCGGGAGUGUUAUAACCCGGCGUGUCAUGCCCCCGCCUGGACCGAGGUUCGCGCUCCGCAAGGACGCUGGCGUAAUGGUCCCCAGCGGCCCGUCUUGAAACACGGACCAAGGAGUCGAGGUUUUGCGCGAGUGUUUGGGUGUCAAACCCGCACGCGUAAUGAAAGUGAACGCAGGUGGGAGCUUCGGCGCACCACCGACCGAUCCUGAUGUUCUCGGAUGGAUUUGAGUAAGAGCGUAGGGCCUCGGACCCGAAAGAUGGUGAACUAUACGUGAAUAGGGUGAAGCCAGAGGAAACUCUGGUGGAGGCUCGCAGCGGUUCUGACGUGCAAAUCGAUCGUCAAAUUUGCGUAUGGGGGCGAAAGACUAAUCGAACCAU
RNAcentral lists this ribosomal RNA (846 nucleotides) under Thozetella guozhongii. RNAcentral's name for it is "partial large subunit ribosomal RNA". It matches the Rfam family "Eukaryotic large subunit ribosomal RNA", at positions 64 to 943 of the family's 3401-position model. Lineage: Eukaryota; Fungi; Ascomycota; Sordariomycetes; Chaetosphaeriales; Chaetosphaeriaceae. The record is from RNAcentral.